CCUACGGGGGGCAGCAGUGAGGAAUAUUGGUCAAUGGACGAGAGUCUGAACCAGCCAAGUAGCGUGAAGGAUGACUGCCCUAUGGGUUGUAAACUUCUUUUAUAUGGGAAUAAAAUGUUCCACGUGUGCCAUUUUGUAUGUACCUUAUGAAUAAGGAUCGGCUAACUCCGUGCCAGCAGCCGCGGUAAUACGGAGGAUCCGAGCGUUAUCCGGAUUUAUUGGGUUUAAAGGGAGCGUAGGUGGAUUGUUAAGUCAGUUGUGAAAGUUUGCGGCUCAACCGUAAAAUUGCAGUUGAAACUGGCAGUCUUGAGUACAGGAGAGGUAGGCGGAAUUCGUGGUGUAGCGGUGAAAUGCUUAGAUAUCACGAAGAACUCCGAUUGCGAAGGCAGCUCACUGGACUGCAACUGACACUGAGGCUCGAAAGUGUGGGUAUCAAACAGGAUUAGAUACCCCUGUAGUC
This 460-nucleotide ribosomal RNA is filed under the name uncultured bacterium. Its description in RNAcentral is "partial 16S ribosomal RNA". It matches the Rfam family "Bacterial small subunit ribosomal RNA", at positions 338 to 795 of the family's 1533-position model. The record is from RNAcentral.